This 515-nucleotide ribosomal RNA is filed under the name uncultured bacterium. Its description in RNAcentral is "partial 16S ribosomal RNA". It matches the Rfam family "Bacterial small subunit ribosomal RNA", at positions 28 to 523 of the family's 1533-position model. The record is from RNAcentral.
GAUGAACGCUGGCGGCGUGCCUAAUACAUGCAAGUCGAGCGAAUGGAUUAAGAGCUUGCUCUUAUGAAGUUAGCGGCGGACGGGUGAGUAACACGUGGGUAACCUGCCCAUAAGACUGGGAUAACUCCGGGAAACCGGGGCUAAUACCGGAUAACAUUUUGAACCGCAUGGUUCGAAAUUGAAAGGCGGCUUCGGCCGUCACUUAUGGAUGGACCCGCGUCGCAUUAGCUAGUUGGUGAGGUAACGGCUCACCAAGGCAACGAUGCGUAGCCGACCUGGGAGGGUGAUCGGCCACACUGGGACUGAGACACGGCCCAGACUCCUACGGGAGGCAGAAGUAGGGAAUCUUCCGCAAUGGACGAAAUUCUGACGGAGCAACGCCGCGUGAGUGAUGAAGGCUUUCGGGUCGUAAAACUCUGUUGUUAGGGAAGAACAAGUGCUAGUUGAAUAAGCUGGCACCUUGACGGUACCUAACCAGAAAGCCACGGCUAACUACGUGCCAGCCGCCGCAGUAA